This 186-nucleotide unclassified non-coding RNA is filed under the name rhizosphere metagenome. RNAcentral describes it as "partial ribosomal RNA internal transcribed spacer region". The record is from RNAcentral.
GAGUUGCAAAACUCCCAAACCAUUGUGAACUUACCUUCAACGUUGCUUCGGCGGGUUGGCCCCGGUCUCCGGGGUCCCCGGCCCUAACGGGCGCCCGCCGGAGGUAUCUAACUCUUGAACUUUUAUGGCAUCUCUGAGUAUUGUACUUAAUAAGUCAAAACUUUCAACAACGGAUCUCUUGGUUCU